UUGAAAGCUACAUGAGACUUGCUGGUGUUCUUUAUCUUAAUAGCACUUUGAACUUGCUUACCAGGGGAAGUAGAGCUUAUUCGGAGGAUCAAGACGGAGACGACGUCGUAUCGGAAGAAGAGAUCUAGCAACCGAUGAAACGGAGUUGGUGGAGCUAGGGUUACUGCUGUUGUUGUUGUGAGCUUCAAUUUGGUACGAUGAAGAUGAAGAAGAAG
This 215-nucleotide long non-coding RNA is filed under the name Helianthus annuus (common sunflower). RNAcentral describes it as "hypothetical non coding rna". The record is from RNAcentral. Lineage: Eukaryota; Viridiplantae; Streptophyta; Magnoliopsida; Asterales; Asteraceae.